AUUAAAAGAUGAUGCCAAUUUUAUGUGAUUUGUGUACAUAUAGACGACUAAAAAGAGACCCAACUUCGGGACUACAGGCCAAAAACAUUGAAAUUGCGGAGAAGUUAUUUAAACUUCUAAUUAUUACAUUGACCAAAAAGAACAAAUUAAUAAGCAGGGUGGCCACAGCACCAAGAAUAUAUGUACUUCCAAAAAUCCAUAAAGAAGGAACCCCUUUGAGACCGAUUUGGUCAUCCAUCAACUCCCCAACUUAUACAAAUACAAAUUUUGCCCAUAAACAUUCCAAUUUUUCUGAUGGUCUCGCCAGGAUUCCAACCCAGGCGUUCAGCGUCAUAGGCGGACAUGCUGACCUCUGCGCAACGGUGGCCUCCAAACUUAUGAACUCUCCAAAUAUCUAAUAACAUGACGAAAGAGUCCCAAUACAAUGUUAAGGACGGGAUACAAUUUUAGAAUAGGAUCAGCAGACAAAAUAUUAGCAGCAUGGAACGAUUAGUUUCGUUCGAUGUCGUGUCAUUAUUUCCAAGCGUACCAGUCAACUGAGCAAUAAAAACAAUCAAGGAGAAAUGGACAACCGUGGAGAAACAUACAAAGAUUCCUAUGGACCUAUUCUUGGAAAUGCUCACAUUAUGCAUACAAGACUCAAGAUACUUCACAUACAACGAUAAAGUGUACGUAAACAGAGAAAAGGUAUGCCAAUGGGAUCCCCUGUAUCACCCACAUUUGGAGAUGUUAUAAUGGAGGAAUUAUUGGACGUUUCGAUAAGAAAACUGACCAAGAAACCAAGAUUCUUGACGAAAUAUGUGGACGACAUAUUUUGCGUCAUAGAGAAAACGGAACUGAAGAACACACUCAAGGUGCACAACGCAUUUGACAAGCAAAUACAAUUAUACAACUAAUUAUAAUAUCUUGACUCAAUGGUGUGCAGACACGAAAACCAGAUCAAAUUGAACUGGCUUCAAAAAGAUACGGCUUCAGGAAGACUUAUCAACUUCCACUCCAAACAUCCCAGGAGAAUACGGCAACAAAUUUUAUAAACAGAGUUUUUAAAAUGAGCGACACAAUAUUUCAUAAGGAGAACGAAAAGAAAAUUCGCCAUGUAUUGAAAUUAAAUGAGUUUCCCAACAACACAAUAACGAGUCUAAUAAAACACAUUUUAAGACUGACGCAGACCACUGUGCACAGAUUUACAGGAGUUUAGUCAAUCAAUAUAGGCAAUAGAGAGAGAAAGCUUUUAGUAUACUUUUCGCAUUAUCAUAAGAAAGUCAUUUGUAAUUGUUAAAAAUGUAAUUAUUUCGUAAAAUAGUUGUUCUGUUUGUAUAUUUUUUAUGUAAUUUCCCAGAUGAAGAACACCGGUGGUGUUCGAAAUAUUGGAGUUUUCAAAAUAAAACGAUUUUCGAAAACUUAAACGUCGGCUUUUAAUUAUUGUUUCAUGACCUUGAGCCAAAACAACAACAAAAAUCCUUAGAUACCUACCACGAGGUCUAUGAUAAAAAUAAGGGGCCAAAAAGGUUGUCUAUAACAAUUUACGGAUAUCUCUCUUUAGCGUACUUCUGCAAAUUUGGACAUGAGCUCCAAAAGUAAAAAUUGUUCCUUUGUGCCUCGAUGUUGUUGUUGUUGUUUUUGCUGUUGCCACAUGUCUGUAUGUGGAGGUGGCGAUCCUCGUCAAGCUCCAUAGACGAGCAAGCUCGUUCCGGGAUCGCCGCGGGAACAAGAUGGCCAUUGAUUAUUUAAAGGCGCCAAAACGCUCCUUGUCAUAUGUAACAUCAUAGGCACUCAGUAUUUAUGCAGGAGCCGGUGCCGUCCGGCUUCUCACUAAGACUCUUCACUCGAUACCACGACUGUAGUUGCAGCUACUCCGUAUGGAGCACUACACUGUCCGCAACCUGAGAACCGGUAGCGCGCAGCUAACCUUCUCGUGACAUCGAUGAGCACUACACAGUUUGGAGCUCAAAGUUCCAGCAUGUUUGAUGGUAAUAGUUAUCCAGUGCCGUGAUGCCUCGAAGUAGUCGUAGAAUGUUGGACUCCCCUUCACCCGCCAAAAAAGUGGACGCCAAUGGAUGAUCCUAUUUGUUUUUUAUUAAACACAUCACAAUUUAAAUGUCAAUAAUAUUUGGAACUUGUGUAUGUGAUUGAAAUAAAGACAAUCACAACAUAA
Stomoxys calcitrans (stable fly) is the source of this 2155-nucleotide long non-coding RNA. RefSeq lists it as uncharacterized. The record is from RefSeq and is a predicted model, not a curated record. Lineage: Eukaryota; Metazoa; Arthropoda; Insecta; Diptera; Muscidae. The transcript is spliced from 2 exons.